AGAGUUUGAUCCUGGCUCAGGACGAACGCUGCGCGUGCCUAACAUGCAAGUCGAGCGAGAUCCAUCCGGUGCUUGCACCGGUGAAGAUCUAGCGGCGAACGGGUGAGUAACACGUGAGCAACCUGCCCCGAUGUCUGGGAUAACUCGAGGAAACUCGGGCUAAUACCGGAUGUCGUCGUUGGACCGCAUGGUCUGAUGACGAAAGAUUUAUCGCUUCGGGAGGGGCUCGCGUCCUAUCAGCUUGUUGGUGAGGUAACGGCUCACCAAGGCUUCGACGGGUAGCUGGUCUGAGAGGACGAUCAGCCACACUGGGACUGAGACACGGCCCAGACUCCUACGGGAGGCAGCAGUUAGGGAUCUUGCGCAAUGGGCGAAAGCCUGACGCAGCAACGCGCGUGCGGGAGGAAGGCUUCGGGUUGUAAACCGCUUUCAGUGGGGACGAAAACA
RNAcentral lists this ribosomal RNA (447 nucleotides) under uncultured bacterium. RNAcentral describes it as "bacterial SSU rRNA". It matches the Rfam family "Bacterial small subunit ribosomal RNA", at positions 8 to 453 of the family's 1533-position model. The record is from RNAcentral.